GAAGGUGUGCUGUGAGGCAUGCUGGAGGUAUCAGAAGUGCGAAUGCUGACAUAAGUAACGAUAAAGCGGGUGAAAAGCCCGCUCGCCGGAAGACCAAGGGUUCCUGUCCAACGUUAAUCGGGGCAGGGUGAGUCGACCCCUAAGGCGAGGCCGAAAGGCGUAGUCGAUGGGAAACAGGUUAAUAUUCCUGUACUUGGUGUUACUGCGAAGGGGGGACGGAGAAGGCUAUGUUGGCCGGGCGACGGUUGUCCCGGUUUAAGCGUGUAGGCUGGUUUUCCAGGCAAAUCCGGAAAAUCAAGGCUGAGGCGUGAUGACGAGGCACUACGGUGCUGAAGCAACAAAUGCCCUGCUUCCAGGAAAAGCCUCUAAGCAUCAGGUAACAUCAAAUCGUACCCCAAACCGACACAGGUGGUCAGGUAGAGAAUACCAAGGCGCUUGAGAGAACUCGGGUGAAGGAACUAGGCAAAAUGGUGCCGUAACUUCGGGAGAAGGCACGCUGAUAUGUAGGUGAAGUCCCUCGCGGAUGGAGCUGAAAUCAGUCGAAGAUACCAGCUGGCUGCAACUGUUUAUUAAAAACACAGCACUGUGCAAACACGAAAGUGGACGUAUACGGUGUGACGCCUGCCCGGUGCCGGAAGGUUAAUUGAUGGGGUCAGCGCAAGCGAAGCUCUUGAUCGAAGCCCCGGUAAACGGCGGCCGUAACUAUAACGGUCCUAAGGUAGCGAAAUUCCUUGUCGGGUAAGUUCCGACCUGCACGAAUGGCGUAAUGAUGGCCAGGCUGUCUCCACCCGAGACUCAGUGAAAUUGAACUCGCUGUGAAGAUGCAGUGUACCCGCGGCAAGACGGAAAGACCCCGUGAACCUUUACUAUAGCUUGACACUGAACAUUGAGCCUUGAUGUGUAGGAUAGGUGGGAGGCUUGGAAGUGUGGACGCCAGUCUGCAUGGAGCCGACCUUGAAAUACCACCCUUUAAUGUUUGAUGUUCUAACGUUGACCCGUAAUCCGGGUUGCGGACAGUGUCUGGUGGGUAGUUUGACUGGGGCGGUCUCCUCCUAAAGAGUAACGGAGGAGCACGAAGGUUGGCUAAUCCUGGUCGGACAUCAGGAGGUUAGUGCAAUGGCAUAAGCCAGCUUGACUGCGAGCGUGACGGCGCGAGCAGGUGCGAAAGCAGGUCAUAGUGAUCCGGUGGUUCUGAAUGGAAGGGCCAUCGCUCAACGGAUAAAAGGUACUCCGGGGAUAACAGGCUGAUACCGCCCAAGAGUUCAUAUCGACGGCGGUGUUUGGCACCUCGAUGUCGGCUCAUCACAUCCUGGGGCUGAAGUAGGUCCCAAGGGUAUGGCUGUUCGCCAUUUAAAGUGGUACGCGAGCUGGGUUUAGAACGUCGUGAGACAGUUCGGUCCCUAUCUGCCGUGGGCGCUGGAGAACUGAGGGGGGCUGCUCCUAGUACGAGAGGACCGGAGUGGACGCAUCACUGGUGUUCGGGUUGUCAUGCCAAUGGCACUGCCCGGUAGCUAAAUGCGGAAGAGAUAAGUGCUGAAAGCAUCUAAGCACGAAACUUGCCCCGAGAUGAGUUCU
RNAcentral lists this ribosomal RNA (1575 nucleotides) under Escherichia coli. RNAcentral's name for it is "bacterial LSU rRNA". It matches the Rfam family "Bacterial large subunit ribosomal RNA", at positions 1252 to 2812 of the family's 2925-position model. Lineage: Bacteria; Pseudomonadati; Pseudomonadota; Gammaproteobacteria; Enterobacterales; Enterobacteriaceae. The record is from RNAcentral.